GAGUUUGAUCCUGGCUCAGGACGAACGCUGGCGGCGCGCCUAACACAUGCAAGUCGAACGAGAGAUGAGGAGCUUGCUCUUCAAAUCGAGUGGCGAACGGGUGAGUAACGCGUGAGGAACCUGCCUCAAAGAGGGGGACAACAGUUGGAAACGACUGCUAAUACCGCAUAAGCCCACGGCUCGGCAUCGAGCAGAGGGAAAAGGAGCAAUCCGCUUUGAGAUGGCCUCGCGUCCGAUUAGCUAGUUGGUGAGGUAACGGCCCACCAAGGCGACGAUCGGUAGCCGGACUGAGAGGUUGAACGGCCACAUUGGGACUGAGACACGGCCCAGACUCCUACGGGAGGCAGCAGUGGGGAAUAUUGCACAAUGGGGGAAACCCUGAUGCAGCGACGCCGCGUGGAGGAAGAAGGUCUUCGGAUUGUAAACUCCUGUUGUUGAGGAAGAUAAUGACGGUACUCAACAAGGAAGUGACGGCUAACUACGUGCCAGCCGCCGCGGUAAUAC
Molecule: ribosomal RNA, 504 nt
Filed under: uncultured bacterium
Lineage: Bacteria
Description: bacterial SSU rRNA
Rfam family: Bacterial small subunit ribosomal RNA
Source: RNAcentral